RNAcentral lists this long non-coding RNA (488 nucleotides) under Hordeum vulgare. Its description in RNAcentral is "long non-coding RNA (HVUL_LNC004834)". Lineage: Eukaryota; Viridiplantae; Streptophyta; Magnoliopsida; Poales; Poaceae. The record is from RNAcentral.
UCAUCUUAUCUUGGUAUACGUUAAUACUCAUAGUUAAGCUAAGUUACUCAAAUUUUUUUCAUUAAUUAGUUAUCACAUCACAUUUUUUGUUUAGAUGGCAUCAUAAUUAAUUGUCACAUCAUAAUAUGAGUACUACUACUUCCAUUAUAGAUAGUUUUACGGUUUAUUGGAGCAGUCAGCUGCCUCCUCCACCCACCCUGGAGCCGCCAUGAGGCAUCACCUCCUUCACAUCCCUUCAUACUAUUUCCAAAUUUAAGGUAGGCCUGUCGGUUCAAACGUUUAGGAUAAAGUGAAGGUUCGGUUAAUUUUCUUUUUUUACGGGACACUGACGUUACGAACGUCUAAGAAAAAGGUAAAGGGUCUGGCUGAAGAUGCUCACUGAGGAGAGCAACGUCCGCUAAAAACGGAAGCAACACCGGCUUCACGGCAACCACGCCUUGCGCACACAUCACAAAACCCACGCCAUACCGUCACCGUCCAUGAAAAAA